This 341-nucleotide long non-coding RNA is filed under the name Urocitellus parryii (Arctic ground squirrel). Its description in RNAcentral is "lncRNA (ENSUPAG00010011318.1)". Lineage: Eukaryota; Metazoa; Chordata; Mammalia; Rodentia; Sciuridae. The record is from RNAcentral.
CUUCUGGGAGUUGUAGUCUAGUUCCCCCUCGUCUUUGGGGGCUCUUACAUGGUAUUUGACGGGUCGGGCUCGGAUGUGCGCAUUUCCGGACCUUAAGUUGUAUCUAUUGCGCCGGGGGACUGGGCACUCCCAUACCUCGCUGAGCUCGCCUGGUCRGAGCCCACCGUCCCCUGAAGGUGCGUGCACGGACCACUUGGACUCCGGCAUAAAUCCAUUUUGGCUUAUACACUUUGUAAAAAUCUUGAGUAGAAUUUGAUAAAACUUCUGACGUUAUUUGGUGUACUUUUGAGUAAGUAUAAAUCCAUUUCAUUUAAUGUUUAGUAGUUUAUUCUGGUUUCCUG